ACGCUCGACACCUACGGGUGGCAGCAGUGGGGAAUAUUGCACAAUGGGGGAAACCCUGAUGCAGCGACGCCGCGUGGAGGAAGAAGGUCUUCGGAUUGUAAACUCCUGUUGUUGGGGAAAAAGAGGAUGGUACCCAACAAGGAAGUGACGGCUAACUACGCGCCAGCACGCCGCGGUAAUCUGAGGCGGGCUGGCGAAGGC
RNAcentral lists this ribosomal RNA (201 nucleotides) under uncultured bacterium. Its description in RNAcentral is "partial 16S ribosomal RNA". It matches the Rfam family "Bacterial small subunit ribosomal RNA", at positions 328 to 540 of the family's 1533-position model. The record is from RNAcentral.